GUGCUAGUUCUGGCAGCACAUAUGAAAAAUUGGAUUAUGAUACAGAGAAGAUUAGCAUGGCCCCUGCCCCAAGCAUGACACGCAAAUUCAUAAAGCAGAUCCAAAUUUU
Molecule: small nuclear RNA, 109 nt
Organism: Hippocampus zosterae (dwarf seahorse)
Lineage: Eukaryota; Metazoa; Chordata; Actinopteri; Syngnathiformes; Syngnathidae
Source: RefSeq, a predicted model, not a curated record